GUGCUAAGGUAGCAUAAUCAUUUGCCUUUUAAUUGAAGGCUAGUAUGAAAGGACACACAAGGAUAAAGCUGUCUCACUUAAAUUAAUUAUAAACUGAUAUUUAGGUGAAGAAGCCUAAAUUAUAAUAAAGGACAAGAAGACCCUAUAGAGCUUUACUGGCUAGAGCGUCAUACUUAAUACCAGUUUGGUUGGGACAACCAAAAGACAUUAUCACCUCUUUUUGCAAUAUCAAAAUACUCACCCAAUAAUGUAUAAAAAAUAGCUACCUUAGGGAUAACAGGCUAAUCCCAUUAGAGAGACCACAUUGACAAUGGGGGUUGGCACCUCGAUGUUGGCUUAGUGUUACUAUUAGGCGCAGCCGCCUAACGCAG
RNAcentral lists this ribosomal RNA (371 nucleotides) under Platynereis sp. MTPD195-20. RNAcentral describes it as "partial 16S ribosomal RNA". It matches the Rfam family "Bacterial large subunit ribosomal RNA", at positions 1948 to 2571 of the family's 2925-position model. Lineage: Eukaryota; Metazoa; Annelida; Polychaeta; Phyllodocida; Nereididae. The record is from RNAcentral.